RNAcentral lists this long non-coding RNA (1063 nucleotides) under Olea europaea (common olive). RNAcentral's name for it is "long non-coding RNA (OEUR_LNC005477)". The record is from RNAcentral. Lineage: Eukaryota; Viridiplantae; Streptophyta; Magnoliopsida; Lamiales; Oleaceae.
GAAAGAAGCAAAAAAAUUGGCGAAAAGUGAUAGAAUCCAAAAAAACGGGGAUUAAAUUGGCCAUUGAUGGAAGUUGGAGGCCAAGGCAUACAAGUCAAAAAGUGGAGGAUUUGAGAUGCAAUUAUUCAGGGACCAAAGCUGAAAAUUUUCCUAGGUUUUACUAUUAAAAACCAUGCAAAUCCUUGGAGAAGAAGGAAGGGCCGAGAGAAAGAAAAAAAGAGAAAAACGGCUGCUGCUGACUAAUAUACAUACAAACCUACAGCAAGAAGAGAAAUUGGCUGCUGGGAUACAUACAUAAACUUGGGCAGCGGCUGAUACACAUCACACGGCUGAGGGAGGAGAGUUUACCUAGAGAAACUACUACAGCCGGAGGAAGAAAACCGAGAGAAGAGGAAGUAGGUGGCUGCUUGUGAGUUCAAACAUUGGGCUGAAUUUAUUAUUUUUGAUAAACUAAAUUGGUGGCUGAAAAGGAGAGAAGGAGGCUGCUUGAGGUUGAAUUAAUUGGGGACAAUUCGGCUACCUUGGUGAGAAUAUAGGCAAAAACGGUGGGCAGCUGCUGGAGUUAAAAAGAUACACAACUGGCCGGCUGGAAAGAAUUAUUACUUGCAAAUUUGGAAUAAAAUUGGCUGCUGCCCAAAGAAAAAAAUGCUGCUGGUCUUUUAUCAUAUAUAUACAUAGGCUGCCUAUAUGUAUAAUUGCAUGGAUUUGGGCUGAUUUUUAUAUAUAUACUGCACACACAAGUUGACAGCAUACUGGAGGAAAGAUUUGAGUGCCAACCGGGGAUUACAACCACGUUGUCGACGGAAACUGCAGAGAAUAUUUGCCGGCAGCUUGCUGAUUUUUAUAUAGAAACAACACACAUAAUUGGGCCAAAGAUAUAUUGAAAAACGGCUGCUUGGGGGAAAUCAACAUACACGUGCAAAAGUCGAGCAAAUUCGUGGACUCAAUCAUGUCCCGUCGAUUUUUGGUGACUUCCUUCCACUUUUCUUUGUUUAAUUCCAAUAUUAUGCUAGUCUAAUUUUCUCAUGUAUUGGAUGGAUGACAAAAUUGUUUAAUUUUUAGU